RNAcentral lists this ribosomal RNA (253 nucleotides) under uncultured bacterium. RNAcentral's name for it is "partial 16S ribosomal RNA". It matches the Rfam family "Bacterial small subunit ribosomal RNA", at positions 524 to 776 of the family's 1533-position model. The record is from RNAcentral.
AACGUAGGAGACGAACGUUAUCCGGAGUUACUGGGCGUAAAGGGCGUGUAGGCGGCUAUGUAAGUCGGGCGUGAAAUCCCACGGCUCAACCGUGGAAGUGCACCCGAAACUGCGUAGCUAGAGUCCUGGAGAGGAAGGUGGAAUGCUUGGUGUAGAGGUGAAAUUCGUAGAUAUCAAGCGGAACACCGGUGGCGAAGGCGGCCUUCUGGACAGUGACUGACGCUGAGACGCGAAAGCGUGGGGAGCAAACAGG